Molecule: ribosomal RNA, 253 nt
Filed under: uncultured bacterium
Lineage: Bacteria
Description: partial 16S ribosomal RNA
Rfam family: Bacterial small subunit ribosomal RNA
Source: RNAcentral
UACGUAGGGUGCAAGCGUUGUCCGGAAUUAUGGGGCGUAAAGAGCUCGUAGGCGGUUUGUCGCGUCUGCUGUGAAAACUCAGGGCUUAACCCUGGGCUUGCAGUGGGUACGGGCAGACUAGAGUGCGGUAGGGGAGACUGGAAUUCCUGGUGUAGCGGUGAAAUGCGCAGAUAUCAGGAGGAACACCGGUGGCGAAGGCGGGUCUCUGGGCCGUAACUGACGCUGAGGAGCGAAAGCAUGGGGAGCGAACAGG